RNAcentral lists this transfer RNA (75 nucleotides) under Gammaproteobacteria bacterium. Its description in RNAcentral is "tRNA-Gln". It matches the Rfam family "tRNA". Rfam says of the family: Transfer RNA (tRNA) molecules are approximately 80 nucleotides in length. Their secondary structure includes four short double-helical elements and three loops (D, anti-codon, and T loops). Further hydrogen bonds mediate the characteristic L-shaped molecular structure. tRNAs have two regions of fundamental functional importance: the anti-codon, which is responsible for specific mRNA codon recognition, and the 3' end, to which the tRNAs corresponding amino acid is attached (by aminoacyl-tRNA synthetases). tRNAs cope with the degeneracy of the genetic code in two manners: having more than one tRNA (with a specific anti-codon) for a particular amino acid; and 'wobble' base-pairing, i.e. permitting non-standard base-pairing at the 3rd anti-codon position. The record is from RNAcentral. Lineage: Bacteria; Pseudomonadati; Pseudomonadota; Gammaproteobacteria.
GGGCCCGUGGUGUAAGCAGCAACACGCGAGACUUUGAAUCUCGAGUCGGAGGGGCGGAACCUCCCGGGCCUCCCA